CGUCGGCCAACAACGGUGUCACGGUAAUAUAGGUUUCAAAUAACAGGAUAGAAGAGGGGAUAAGAUAGAUGAACAUCACGGGGAGCAGGAGCUUCCAGCUACUCCCGACGAGCUUUGCGGCUCCCCACAGUAUCUCCCGGGCGUUCGAGGUCGGUGACCGGCCGCCGCCGACGAUCAGAGGCAAGCACUCCUCUUCACCCAUGGCUCUUGUUCUGUUUCCUUACCUUCUGCUCAGUUGUAGAACAAACUAACGCGUCCUAUUUAUAAACUCUUUCUAGUGGGGGGCAGUCAUCGCGAAGAGUUGUCAACGGUGGGCGUCCACCUGGACUAUCGACGAAAAAGUCUUCCCACCUACUUGGACCUGUCUUGUUGAACAAGGCACCAGUCCCCCUACGACGGGACGGGUAAUUCUUCGGCUCUAUCUCUUGAGUCAUCUUCCGUGUUGAACAAGGCACCAGUCCCCCUACGACGGGACGGGUAAUUCUUCGGCUCUAUCUCUUGAGUCAUCUUCCGUGUUGAACAAGGCACCCGUCCCCCUAUCACGGGAUCUCAUUCUCCACUGCUGGAUCAUCCGAUGGCAGGGAGAGCUUUAGGAGAAAGAGAACAGAGAUGAGGGCGGCAGCUCUCGAGAGAAGGAAGGGCCUUGCUGGUCUUUCAGACGCCGGCGACUUCUUCCCGGCCCUGUCGGGGAGAACAGUUCCAGAGUGUACUCUCUUCUUCACCCGCAAGCCCAGUACCAUGGACCACCGCUUUGCUCAUCAAUUCUGCUCAUCGGGGUGCAGGAGCUUCCAGCUCUUCCCGACGAGCUUUGCGGCUCCCCACAGUAUCUCCCGGGCGUUCGAGGUCGGUGACCGGCCGCCGCCGACGAUCAGAGGCAAGCACUCCUCUUCACCCAUGGCUCAGGUUCUGUUUCCUUACGUUCUGCUCAGUUGCAGAACAAACUAACGCGUUCUCUUUGUGAACUCUUUCUAAUGGGGGGUAGUCAUCGCGGAGACUUGUCAACGGUGGGCGUCUGCCUUGAUAAUCAACUAAAAAGUCUACCCACCUACACGGACCUGACGGGUAAUUAAUUCUUCGUCUCUAUCUCUCGAGUCAUCCUUAGUGUUGAACAUGGCACCCGUCCCCAUAUCACGGGAUCUCAUUCUCCACUGCUGGAUCAUCCGAUGUCGGGGAGACCUUUAGAGAGAGAAUAGAGAUGAGGGCGGCAGCUCUCGAGAGAAGGGCCUCGCAGGUCUUCCAGUCGCCAGCGACUUCUUCCCGGCCCUGUCGCGGAGAAAAAUUCCAGAAUGUACUCUCUUCUUCACCCGCAAGCCCAGUGCCAUGGACCACCGCUCUGCUCAUCCGAAUUGCUUAUCGUGUCUGGUCUCGGCCCAGCUGCUUUGGAGGAACGUAACGAGAGAGAGAGAGAGAGAGAGGGAGGUUUUUUAGUAAUAGGUUGAAAUAAAAAUAAAGAUGGGGUCUUUCCGCAGUUAAUGCUCCCAACAAUUUUAACCCGUUCCUGUGCGUAGGAAAGACAACAUUGAUUUACACACCAAAAAUUAUUCUUCGCCUAUUCAAAUUGGUGUCGGGAGCGUUCACAUGUUGGGAGUCAGGAAGGAAUCCACGAUGAAUUGCAAUAUUGCCCUAAAUGUCUAGACUAUGAUGUGUCUAAACAUUAGGGACAAUGUACCAAUAUGUGGUGCUGUCUUAGUAGACCAUCUGAAGAAAUACUUGGGUUCUUGCUCAAUUGUCUUAAAUGUUGAUGAAAGUUAUUUUUGACCUGUAUUGAUCAUUUCUCAAGAAAAGCCUCAUGUUUUCUAAAUAAAAAGAUUUUUGUGCGUCAAUUUCAAGUACUAGAAGAUUAAAACACCUUGGUAUGUGAUAGUGAUAUGAAGUUCUUUACAAAUCAAUAUGAUGAAUUCUAUAAUAAUGAAGUUAUUAUUCUAUAUCAUACUAUGAAAGGGAGACUAAUAAAAUAAUAUCAUAGAAUGGAGGAACAAGUAGUAUCUUAAAGAAAGUGAGGAGUACAGCAUCUCAAGUUAGUCUAUUAAAGAUGUUUUGAGUAGAAGCUAUCAACACUGCUAAGUACUAGGUGAAUCAAUACAUAUCCACAAC
RNAcentral lists this long non-coding RNA (2094 nucleotides) under Spirodela polyrhiza (greater duckweed). Its description in RNAcentral is "long non-coding RNA (SPOL_LNC001738)". The record is from RNAcentral. Lineage: Eukaryota; Viridiplantae; Streptophyta; Magnoliopsida; Alismatales; Araceae.